Molecule: microRNA precursor, 57 nt
Filed under: Triops cancriformis
Lineage: Eukaryota; Metazoa; Arthropoda; Branchiopoda; Notostraca; Triopsidae
Description: microRNA tcf-mir-2944a precursor
Source: miRBase by way of RNAcentral
AAGGAACUACCGCUGUGGUAUGUGGAGCCUUCCGUAUCACAGCCGUAGUUACCUAGA